This is a long non-coding RNA of Brienomyrus brachyistius, 4048 nucleotides long. RefSeq lists it as uncharacterized. The transcript has 4 exons. The record is from RefSeq and is a predicted model, not a curated record. Lineage: Eukaryota; Metazoa; Chordata; Actinopteri; Osteoglossiformes; Mormyridae.
GCAUAAUUCUAAUCAUUGUUAUCUUGGACGACGCAUUCAAGUUUUGCCGGUUAGAUAAUGUCCGCUGGCGUGGGCCCGCUUGGGCGCGCGGGGCUUGGCAGCGGUAGCUCUCUCCUUUCGUUAGUUUAAACACAAGGGAGGGUUUACCGAAUGCAGAGAAAGCAGGUAGCCGAUACACAAGUUAAUUACUUGCUGCUUGUGUUGACGCAGCUGUUGAGCCAUUCCAAAUGACCUUCUGUGAUCGCGGCCUCAACUAUUUUUUUCCCCCCCAGAAAGCCCCGGAAGAUAAGCCACGCUUUCUUUUUCUUUUUUUUUUACUGCCAGUAAUCGUUCUUUUUAAUGUCACCCCCGCUGCUGUGUCGUGGUUUAUCGUGUUCUCGUAAUCAAACAACCCUUUUUUUGGACGGAAGGCUGGCUCCGGUGAUCACGUGGCACUUUAUGGAUUCAGUGGACAGAUGGAGGAGUGGACAGAAGACAGUGCCAGGGGGACCACAUCCCAUUGCAAAUUAGCCAAUCACAAGGCUGCCAGAGGCUUCGUUCUUUCCAAUCAUUUGUCCUCCAGUGGUCCAUCGAUUUCCUGCUCCAUAGCAACGCUGACUCCGCAUCCAGUAAUAAUUCCCAUCCUGGGGUAUGGACUCCAGAAGAUGGUUAGCGUUGUGUGAAGAGGCCCGAGUUUCCCGUGGUCGGCUCAGCGUGGCGAGCUGUCCAGAUUGGACAUAACGGCGGGAAAUAAUCACUCUUCAGGAUGAAAUUUUGAUAACCAGACAAACAAAGACAUCACUUCCAAUCUCGAGCAGAAAAGGUGGUGGAGGAGAAGCAGACACCUGGUGAGGCUGUGGGCCCACAGAAGCCUGUCCUGACAUCGCGAUGACUCACGGACGUACAGUUGCUAGACGGAUGAACCGUGCCGCCGGAUUAAUUCUCAGCGAGAGACGAGGGACUGUGUUGUUUUCAACUUCAUGGAAACUUGGCUGAACCCAAACAUCCCUGAUUCGGCUCUGUAGAGCCCCAGAUUCAAAAUGCACCAGUUAGGACCCCAUGUCUGAAAAAACAAAGUCAAUGCAAGGCAUCUGUGGAAUUGCCUGCAGGACAUCACCCGCUACAAAGGACAGAUGUGACAGACUGUGACUUCCGAUGUCACGCUGCCUGAUGAGCUAAAUAACUUUUAUUUGAGGUUUAAGGCUCAAAAUAUAAACCAGGCACAUAUAGUUCCCAAAAAAAUCAUGACAAUUUGUGCUGAAACUGUCUGAACAGGAUGUGAGGAGGACUUUCAGCAAUGUCAAUGCCUGCGAAGCUGCCAACCAUGAAGACAUCUCUUCCUGUGCUGUAAAGACAUGCAGAUUAUUGUUGGCCGCUGUUUUCACUCACAUCUUCAACGUCUUUGCAUUCCUGUCCCCUGUCCCACUGUGCUACGAGAGGACUACAGUUGUGCCACUGCUGGCAACAUCAAAAGCGCCAUGUGUGAAGGACAACUGGCCGGUGGCAUUAACCAAAGUGCUCAUGAAGUGCAUAGAGCGACCGGUCAUGGCAUUCGUCACCAUGGUGCCAGGCCGGCUGCUGGGUAACCUUAGGGGACCGGGCCCAAGUGACUCCCUAUCCAAGUGGGUUCUGGAUAUUCUGACACACAGACUCCAGGUGAUAAAGGUCAGAAAUAAUAUCCCUGCAGAUUCUCAAUACAAAGACUAUCCUGAUCUGCUGCCUGACGCCAAGGCUGUACUCCCUCGGCUUCCAAGAGGCCAGAUUCUGAAUGACCAAGUCGUCAAGAUACCACAGUAAAUGGUCUCAUAACCAAUAGCGAUGAAUCCUCACAGAGGAGCGAGCAGUGGUGCUACAACCACAAAUCGCACCUUGAAUAUCAAUAAAACAAUAGAGGUCAUUGUGGCCAAGCCGGAAUCACACACUAAUCACCGCUGAUGGAUCUUCUGUGGAAACUGCCAGAAAAUUCAGGUUUCUCCGCCUCCAGACCUCAGAAGGACAGAGUUGGACAUGAAACACCCUCACAAAAGUCCUGCAAUACUUUCCUUCCCGGGAAUGGAUAGCAACCCCUGAUGAGAUCAUGGCCGUCACUAGACCCCCUAUACUGGGGCACAAAAAAUGUCACGUUCCGCUUUGAAAAAACCCAAGGCGGGAUGGGGGGAUGCCCCAGUAGAACUUUAUGUCUAGCAACACCCCUGGCUGAGAUAUCAUUGAGGGUGUCCUCAGAAAGCAUCUUCUUCUGUAAUAACUGGCUAUUCGAAAAACGGGAAAAAUAAGGUGCAUGAUAUUUGAGACAGUGUAGUGUAUAUUAUUAAGAAUUUACUUUUCAAAAAUAAUAUUCUAGGAGAAAAAGAGUGUGCACGGUUUAUUUCAAAACUUGAUUUCCCGUUCUAUUUAGUCAGCUCUGUUUGUGAACUGUAAUACUGUAAUUCCAUUAAAAAAAUGUUAAUGAAGGUGAAACGCUACGCGAUGCUGUUUGUGGAGAUAUAAUGAUGUUUAGGUCUGACAGGUUGGAACUGAGCCUCGUUUAGGAGAAAAGGAUAUUUACUGGAAAAUUAAUAUUUAUAUUGCUUUUGACAUGACAAGGAGCUCUCCUUUUUAUGGGUUGCACAAAAUAUACAUAUUAUUGAUAAUGAAGAUAAUAACGUUGUAAGCCAUCAUCUGUAGUUCAAACAAAGCCGAAAUCUUGGCAAACCGCCACCGUACGUGACAUUUGCCGUUAAACAAGAGUAAAAAACAAGUCUGACGGUUUAAAUGGCUAAAAUGUACUGCACAUUAAUUAAAGGAAUGCUUGUAUGGUUGGAGGGUAUAAAUGUUUUCUUUGACCUUAAAGCGGUAUUAUUCUGCAAGGUUAAACUAGCAGUAAACUAAAUUAUUUAGGAGUCGGUGAAUUUAAAUACAUGUUGUCGGCGAAAAGAAUUUACUUUUUUUUUUCACAAAGGGCUGCUAUAUAGGAGAAACGACUUGGGGACACAAUGAGGAAUUUCAGUUCCAGUCGUCCGCCCAGAUCAAUUGAGACGACUGAACCGUAAAAUGUGAACACAGGGCUUUGUGGGUAGGGGGCAUUGAUUUCUUUGGCUGGACACCCGGCUGGUCACAGGUGCAGGAUGAAGGGCGGGUUAAGCCUCUGCCGUUCCUGUAACAGAGAAAUGUUGGCUUUCCGGAACAUUCUACUCACGCACAUCAUUCUUCUCAGCUUACGGACCCCAGGGUCCCAGUUUUCAUAUUUUUCUUGAGAAGUUUAGUUUAGAGAUUAGCAUAAGAAACUAAGGGGUGACACACUGACCCAGUGGGUUCAAAUCCCUCGCCGGCUCGGUGUUCCUGGAAUUUGCUUGUUCUUCCCAUGUUGAAAGACUGUCCUCUGGGUUUCUCAGUUACUUCUCACUCGAAAUAUGCAGUUAUGUUAGUUCAUGCCUCAAAAUUACCCAUAGGGUGCGAGUGUGUGUGUCUUACUCCCUGUGCUGGUUGGAUCAGGCACUACAUGCCUCCCAUAACCCUGGAAGAUGAGCAGGUAACGAACUAAGUUUCAUGUGGAGAAGGAAAAUAAAUAAUUUUAUGUACCUUUUAAUGUCUGCAAUAUUUUUUCAUGCUUGCCAAUAAAAAAAAGCGGUGUUGUAAGUUUUUCAAUUACUUAUUGCCUUUCGAUCGGCAGUACCACCUUCCAGACCGUACUUAUCAUUAUUUGUUACUACUAAAAGGUCUUAAUUUGUCCCUUCUUUGUGGUGAGUCAUAUUUAAAGCCAUUUCAGAUGCAUAAAUUACAUUAUUAUUUGCUGAAUUUCAUAAUAGAAAAAAUACAGAAUUGCAGGGCAAAAGGUCAGCCUUGACAAGAAUAUUGAUUGCGAAAUAAUGCUAUUAAAUAUAUAAUAUUUUUGCUUUUUGCUGAGGCAUCUACUCUCCCCUAUCUCUGUACGGGUAUUUACAAAUCUAUUUGUGCCACUGUGGGUCUAAAUAUUAUGCGUAUUUUUUUUAUUGUUGUGAAAUGGAGUGAUAAUUAAUAAAGGUUUGGAACAACUGCAAAUUAUCUCUUUUUAUUAGAGUGUAUAAAUCUUUUUUUUUAUUAUUUUCAGAGC